This 255-nucleotide unclassified non-coding RNA is filed under the name Hevea brasiliensis (rubber tree). Lineage: Eukaryota; Viridiplantae; Streptophyta; Magnoliopsida; Malpighiales; Euphorbiaceae. The record is from RNAcentral.
AGAGCCAUUCUUGUGUAUCGAGGCAGAUGUGGUUGCUCUAUAGGUACAAUGGAAAUUCCUGGACCAAGGAAGACUGGAAAGUUUAAGAAAUAAUUAUAGGAAGCAUAUUUUGGAUGCUGUAAUAAUCAGAUGAUGCCUUUGACUGGUAAUCUUCUCUGAAAAGUACUAGACCCUUUUAUAAGCUUUUAUAUAUAUAUAUAUAUUACAAAGAACAGGAACCCUUAUUAUAAUGUAGCAGGGGAAUCUGCCAUUUUG